RNAcentral lists this ribosomal RNA (4674 nucleotides) under Triticum aestivum (bread wheat). RNAcentral's name for it is "partial small subunit ribosomal RNA". The record is from RNAcentral. Lineage: Eukaryota; Viridiplantae; Streptophyta; Magnoliopsida; Poales; Poaceae.
GUACACAGAAGGAGGUGAGGUCGGUCUAGGAGGUGGUUUCGAGGCAGGUCUCGCGUGCGCAUGUGUGCGACUUUGGUUCACUCGUCGCUCCUGGUUCAGGUACCUCCACAGCCGCACGAGGCCGCCGGACCUAGGGCGCUCCGACCGGUUCCGCGGCGUCGACGACGCGAGCCGGAGAGUCCGGUACUUCCCCGACCGGCGGCUGUAGGUGAGGAGGCCGCCCUCGCCGGCCUUUACGCGCGGACCCCGGCCAUCCACGCCCCCCUUCCGGCGGCGGGGGUAGGACCUCGAAGAGCUCCGGAUAAACGAGCUCUAGACCCCGUAGAGACGACGGCGGCUUAUAUUCCGCGACCGUCCGGUCCCUACGGAAGAUGAACUUGGUUCUGGAAGUUCUGUGCCAGCUGACGGCGUCCAAAGUAAGGAGGUUGGGUGGAGCACAAGUUAAGUUUGGUGAAGGGCGAGAGUCCACCACACCAACCGUGACGGAGGGAAAACCUUAUCAACGCGGGUUUGGUGGGUUCUUCUAGUAGUUCCUGUAGUUCCAACACUUAGUUCUUUGAGCGUUCUAACCGCUAGACGACCUGUUCCCCCUUCUGCCGAGUAGCGCCGCUGCCGCCGGCGCGUACGGACUAAGUUCGUCCCUUUAAGAAGUGUGAUCUUCUCCUAAGCAACCCGCGCUGUUCCUCUUCCUACUAUAGGACGUCAACGAGUAGGUCGGUACACGGUUCAGACGACAAUAGAGACAACAACCACUUCGUCCUUAACCCUUCUGUUGAGAACGAGUCUACCACAAGUGACUACGUUGUCAAGUCCUCGUAAAACUACAGUUUACAACCCACAGUCAAAGGUCAUCGAGGUUGUUCUACCUCGAGCGUCGGCUCUAGGAUUCCAGACAGGAUGGCCGGACCCUACCGAGGCGACUGUUCUACGACCUAAAAUUUUACGAAGUCAGCCUCGAGGCAGCUCGAGAAUGUAGGUUCUCCAUAGACUAACAAGAACUACUACACACGUUGUAGUGUCUACUUUGGACCUACCUGUACGAGCGAGGAGAUGUCAGUCGUCUAUGGCCCUCGUCUUAAUACCGCUGAAGGGCGUACCUGUGGUACGGAGUGUAGAAGUCUCGCAGCGUCGACAUGUGGCACUUAGGCGACUUCUCGCUCCUAACGACCUGGGACGACUUCCUUGUACGAAACGGUUCACUAGGGCCAUUACAGAUAGUUCUUGAAGUGGGCUAGCCCUUCGUCUAACGACUUUUUUAGUUACCUAGUGGAGACCGACGAUUCGAUCACCCUCCAAACGACCCUCUAUGUUCCUCGUGUUAAGUGACCUACUUGUAGUACCUUUUUCCUAAUGUUCUAUUACGACAAAAGAGGCGGGAUACGAACUCGAUAUUUAUGGAUGGCCAUGUGGAGUUCGCUACGAAACGUAUAACGUCAAACAAAGGUCUCCUGAUAUUCAAACUAGGUCGUGUGAACAAGGCGGAAACCUAACGGCUCCCAAAACAAGUUGGUGUUCUGUCCCGACUUUUUUCCUACCUUCUGUAACGAUCUCUUAUAAAACUAGUCGAGGAAAGUGCGAGUAAGAAGGUCCUUUAGUUCGAACCUAGGUUCUGCAUGAUGAACCACGUACCGAAUGAGGUACUAGAACGUUCCAGACAACGUCGCCUCCUGACAAAGGCAUAACUGCUACCGUGCUUGACACUGUAGGGCAAUUGUCACGCGGUAGACAGACAGUGGUACUUGUCAGAUGGACGGGAGUGUUCGAAGGCGUCAGAUUUUCUCAACGCGUGGAACAAUUAGGCUGGCAGUGAAGGUAGGUUGAGGUCAACGAGGGUUCUCCUAAAACGACACUUAAAUUUUUCAUAGGACCUCUUCAGUUUUGUCAACGCACAAGAACUAGAGUCAACGAAAUUCAGGUUUCUCAACGGGGUUACGUAACUACUGAAUAACGUGGAGGCAAUGGAUAGAUAGGUACCGAGGUAGGUCUCCGAAGGACUCAGCUAACCGUUCGAGGACGUAGACGUUCAUAACACGAAGUGACCCUUUACAAGAAAACUAUUCGAAGGACUCUUGCAAUGAUACAACCAGUUAAACGCCGUGGAAGAACAACUUUGUUUCACAUGACGUCCUAACCGCCCGUAACCAGCCGAUCGAUUGGAAGUCCCUAGUGAACUCAAGGUGUCACUCUUCUCCCUUCCCGUAUCUGAUCUUCUCAACUCCUUGUAGUUACCAGAGGUACCCGAUGAUUUUUAUUUUCCAGAUCUUUUACAAAGUUCGAUACUUCUUCGGACGUUUCGACUCAACUUAUUUUUUUGUGUAGAAUUAAGAAACUUGAAUCUUACCUCGAGGCGAUCAUCCUUAUUGGGAGGAGGACGCCUGCAUUUCCAUGAACUUCCGGAUUUCGGCGUGGUUCUGUAAUUCCAUGAAUUGGAAUCUUCCAUAACACCGCGGUCUCGAGGGUCGACCGAUGGUAAUAACGUCGUCGACGCAAGGAACGUGGAAUGGUUAACGUCCUCAAACUGGUACGAAGGAGGUGACCCCGUAAACCCUAGUGAGUCUGUAAAUGUGUACUUCCUCGACACACGCCAACUGACAUAACCUGUACUCAAAAUACCGUGACCACUACACCGUAAAGGUAGGGAUUUGAAGGAACUUAAACUACUAAAGGGUUCCAACGUACUGACCAGGCCUUAUCGUGUGCCUUUCAGUAAAGGUACGGAACUUUCUAAUUAGUAUUACCUAACAGGUUUUAACCAGUUUUAAGGAGGGGAGGGGGGUUGAUGAACACUUCAAUGGUAACUCGCAUGUGUCAAUAAUGGUAUAUACUCCGAACGGGGAAAAAGAAGCUCAAGUCUCUUCGAGGUUGACCUACAAACAUGUUGAUUACAGGUGAAGUUGCCGAAUGAAGUACUUGUCGUGUCUCCUCGGUAACAUCGGCAUUUGUAUUCACCACGACUCGUCAAGCAACGAUGACUCCUUUAUCCCAGCGAACAAAGAGAUGUUUCCAACGUCGAAUCAGCGACAUUAAAAUGACUGGUUUUAAAAUCAUCCAAAGAGGUCCGAGAGGGAACAGAGAGGAGUAACCUCUACUAUCUGGACGGAUUGUACUGUAGAGAAGGUCGUAGCCUUUGUGAAUUCAAGACGUGGUACGAGUGACUCAACAGGUAUGCGUUGACGGUCGAAAACGUGAGAGAUAGGAGUAACGUCAAAAAACUAAGUGAUUUUCAAGACCACUAGCUCUCUACAGGAUUUUAAUGACGUUGUAGUAAAGGCAACUUGAAAUCAUCGGAAAGUAGAGAGUUUCACAACUCUUAUAGUAUGACGAGUCUCGAGGUUAGAAAUGGUCAUACGCCAGACGGUAGGAGUAACCUUUGUGAAGUAUAAUAACCCACGGUGGGCCUCAACAGGUUUGUCAGUUCUUUAUCCUGUCGACGAAACCAUGGAUCACACGGCUAAGUCACUGUCUUAUAAAACGUCCCUCUCUACCGUUACGUUUGUGACUCCGGUGGACUUGUGUUGGAACCUCGUAGAGAUCAUCUUAGAGAUAGGGAACUUUGACGGUUUUAGACAGUUUUAGGGUGAGGUACUCUAAGGGAUAGGGUUUGGUAUAGGGAUAUUAAAAAUCCAAGUUUGGAUUUUUGUGGGGUGGAACUGGGUUUUAUAUCCCAUUUUUUAUGGGUGACUAGGUGCCCUCUGGUUUAAGGGGGUUCAAGAGUGGACGACGGGUUAGCUGGGGCGACAGCGGGGUCACUGAGGUACCUACGGUGAGCAGGGGACGCCGGGUAAGUUGAGGAGCAUCACGACUCAACAACGGUGGGCGUAACGGGUACCGCCGAGAGCUCAACCGGCACAGUCGUAGUUCACACCACGACGGGCGGCGGCCGCCCGCGCGCCCCGGUGGCGUCGAGAAUUCGGGGUGGACCCACGGUGGUUGUACGUCGGGUGGCCGGAAUGCUGUGUACUAUGGUCGUAGGGCAUAGACACCGCGCGUGUACCGUGAUUGCGGCCGCUCUCCGGGUAGAUUGGGGGUGCGUAGGGAGGGUAGGGAACAUCGGGGAGGAGGUGGACGAUAACUACAGUCGUUCGAGCCGUACCCGUUGCGAGACUCCGUAAGCUGGUUUACGGGCGUUCACGGUUAAAAAGUACUCGUACUACUCGCAGAGACACACGUAUCUGCUGUAGUUGAUGAACUACGGUUUAAGAGUUCAUGUUCUACAGCACCUCAACAAACCGUGAGACAAACUGUUCUUCCGCGUUUCCAGCCGGGUAAUGUGCCACCCAUUCCUACCCUGUAACCACUACCGUAUCCUGAUCCUCUUAUACUGCGAACUACUCCGGUACCCCUUACUAGUAUGGUCCCGGUUGAUAACCUUCCUGUAAUUCAUCCUUUUAGUAGUGUUACACUUCUGUGGGAGGACAGUCCUACUUGACAAAACCUAAUACAACACGUAAACAUACACACAACUUUUAAAGUUUCAAUACCGUAACAUUUUAUCUUCAAACUUAAAAGCACUACACUACUUUAACCUCAAUUUUACCCAAACUUAUACGCAGCUCUCUUCUAUUUACCUCCCUCCCCACCUAUAUCCCCGACGUCAAAAUUCUCUACAAACGUGACUACUUUAGAACCUGGAACAGUUUGGCCACCGAGAAAACGUCGAGUAUAGUUUACAGG